RNAcentral lists this ribosomal RNA (497 nucleotides) under uncultured bacterium. RNAcentral describes it as "partial 16S ribosomal RNA". It matches the Rfam family "Bacterial small subunit ribosomal RNA", at positions 28 to 507 of the family's 1533-position model. The record is from RNAcentral.
GAUGAACGCUGGCGGCGUGCCUAAUACAUGCAAGUCGAGCGAACGGACGAGAAGCUUGCUUCUCUGAUGUUAGCGGCGGACGGGUGAGUAACACGUGGAUAACCUACCUAUAAGACUGGGAUAACUUCGGGAAACCGGAGCUAAUACCGGGUGAUAUUUUGAACCGCAUGGUUCAAAAGUGAAAGACGGUCUUGCUGUCACUUAUAGAUGGAUCCGCGCUGCAUUAGCUAGUUGGUAAGGUAACGGCUUACCAAGGCAGCGAUGCAUAGCCGACCUGAGAGGGUGAUCGGCCACACUGGAACUGAGACACGGUCCAGACUCCUACGGGAGGCAGCAGUAGGGAAUCUUCCGCAAUGGGCGAAAGCCUGACGGAGCAACGCCGCGUGAGUGAUGAAGGUCUUCGGAUCGUAAAACUCUGUUAUUAGGGAAGAACAUAUGUGUAAGUAACUGUGCACAUCUUGACGGUACCUAAUCAGAAAGCCACGGCUAACUACGUG